UGGGGAAUAUUGGACAAUGGGCGAAAGCCUGAUCCAGCCAUGCCGCGUGUGUGAAGAAGGUCUUCGGAUUGUAAAGCACUUUAAGUUGGGAGGAAGGGCAGUAAGCGAAUACCUUGCUGUUUUGACGUUACCGACAGAAUAAGCACCGGCUAACUCUGUGCCAGCAGCCGCGGUAAUACAGAGGGUGCAAGCGUUAAUCGGAAUUACUGGGCGUAAAGCGCGCGUAGGUGGUUCGUUAAGUUGAAUGUGAAAGCCCCGGGCUCAACCUGGGAACUGCAUCCAAAACUGGCGAGCUAGAGUAGGGCAGAGGGUGGUGGAAUUUCCUGUAUAGCGGUGAAAUGCGUAGAUAUAGGAAGGAACACCAGUGGCGAAGGCGACCACCUGGGCUCAUACUGACACUGAGUUGCGAAAGCGUGGGGAGCAAACAGG
This 429-nucleotide ribosomal RNA is filed under the name Pseudomonadota bacterium. Its description in RNAcentral is "Proteobacteria bacterium partial 16S ribosomal RNA". It matches the Rfam family "Bacterial small subunit ribosomal RNA", at positions 355 to 776 of the family's 1533-position model. The record is from RNAcentral. Lineage: Bacteria; Pseudomonadati; Pseudomonadota.